Molecule: ribosomal RNA, 1026 nt
Filed under: uncultured bacterium
Lineage: Bacteria
Description: bacterial SSU rRNA
Rfam family: Bacterial small subunit ribosomal RNA
Source: RNAcentral
AGUGGGGAAUAUUGCACAAUGGGCGCAAGCCUGAUGCAGCCAUGCCGCGUGUGUGAAGAAGGCCUUAGGGUUGUAAAGCACUUUCAGUCGUGAGGAAAGGUGUGUGCUUAAUACGUACAUACUGUGACGUUAGCGACAGAAGAAGGACCGGCUAACUCCGUGCCAGCAGCCGCGGUAAUACGGAGGGUCCGAGCGUUAAUCGGAAUUACUGGGCGUAAAGCGCGCGUAGGUGGAUUGGUCAGUCAGAUGUGAAAGCCCAGGGCUCAACCUUGGAACUGCAUCUGAUACUGCUAGUCUAGAAUACAGUAGAGGGUAGUGGAAUUUCCUGUGUAGCGGUGAAAUGCGUAGAUAUAGGAAGGAACACCAGUGGCGAAGGCGACUACCUGGACUGAUAUUGACACUGAGGUGCGAAAGCGUGGGGAGCAAACAGGAUUAGAUACCCUGGUAGUCCACGCCGUAAACGAUGUCUACUAGCCGUUGGAAGACUUGAUCUUUUAGUGGCGAAGCUAACGCGAUAAGUAGACCGCCUGGGGAGUACGGCCGCAAGGUUAAAACUCAAAUGAAUUGACGGGGGCCCGCACAAGCGGUGGAGCAUGUGGUUUAAUUCGACGCAACGCGAAGAACCUUACCAACUCUUGACAUCCAGAGAAGAGGCUAGAGAUAGCUUUGUGCCUUCGGGAGCUCUGAGACAGGUGCUGCAUGGCUGUCGUCAGUUCGUGUUGUGAAAUGUUGGGUUAAGUCCCGUAACGAGCGCAACCCUUGUCCUUAUUUGCCAGCACGUAAUGGUGGGAACUCUAAGGAGACUGCCGGUGACAAACCGGAGGAAGGUGGGGACGACGUCAAGUCAUCAUGGCCCUUACGAGUUGGGCUACACACGUGCUACAAUGGCCGGUACAGAGGGCUGCAAACCUGCGAAGGUAAGCUAAUCUCACAAAACCGGUCGUAGUCCGGAUUGGAGUCUGCAACUCGACUCCAUGAAGUCGGAAUCGCUAGUAAUCGUGGAUCAGAAUGCCACGGUGAAUACGU